Molecule: non-coding RNA, 1177 nt
Organism: Taeniopygia guttata (zebra finch)
Lineage: Eukaryota; Metazoa; Chordata; Aves; Passeriformes; Estrildidae
Source: RefSeq, a predicted model, not a curated record
ACUUGUAAUUAGGCCCAUCUGAAUUUAAUAUAAUAACACCAAUUUAUACCAGCUGAGGAUCUGGCUCACUUCUAUUUUAAACUGCCCAAAAUGAUGCCGACUGAGUCAUGGUGCCUUGGGAAUAUGUUUGUGACAUAACCCCAGCUACAAAGCAGGAAUUCUACUGGAUACCACUGGAGAGCUCUCCUGGAGAGCCAGCAGCAGCAGGGCGGCCUGAGAGCAAGAUCAACUACAGAAUCUCCCAAAACUGUGUCAAGGAGACCCAGCAAGAGCAGGAAAAGUGUGGAGGACUGGUGAGACUGAUUUAACAGAAACCUGCACCGACAGCUACAAAUAGGAGCAGCAAGGUUGUCAAUGACUGUAACUGGAGCUGUGCUAAGAUGCUGUGGCUGAGCAGUCUAGAAACAGGCACAAAGAUUUAACAAUACAAAUCUUAGACCGGAAGCAGAAGAACACAGCAAAGAUUUGCUGCCUGCCUUCAUCCCAGCACUGACCAUCACGAAUAGGCAAAGGACACAGAGAAGACUCAGUGUGCUAUGAUCAGCCAUCAUCCCUGGUGUUAGAAGCAGUGCACUGGAAAAAGAGGAAAUUGCUAUACCAGGCAAGACUUCAGCCAUUCAUCAGUCUCAGCCAACUGAUGCUACAGUCCAGUCCAAAGUCACCAGUGUUGACAGGGUAUAAGCUCAGCUUGGUAUAUAAAACACUUCCCCGUCAGUCAGUGUCAGUACAUACUCCAAAAAACCAAGCCACAAUCCUUAAUCCCACAGCCUCAACAUACAAGACAAUCAGUGAAUGAAAGAAGCAAUGGGUUUGUGAAGUGACCCCCAGCAGGACAGAGGCAAACAAUGGCAAAGCUGGAGAAGUACCUCCCUACCCUAAUCCCACACCCAUGAACAUGGCAUCUCUUUAUCCCAGUGCUGCUAGUGCCAGUGCUCUCUCUUUCCAGGAAAGACUCCACCACAAGAACACUCCAACCCAGAAGUUUAUCAUCUAAUAAACUUGGGUUUGUUAGAGAAAUGCAGUGGGAAUUGUAUGGACAGGAACACCUUGAAUGUACCCGGUUGGAACUGGUUUGGAUCUGCUAAAAUUGCUCUCUCACCGUUGCCCGUCCCACUCACACAGGCAGGGAAGAACAGGAGGAAAAGGAGAAUUCAUGAAGUGCAGCCAUACUCAAAAA